Molecule: ribosomal RNA, 1020 nt
Filed under: Pireneitega garibaldii
Lineage: Eukaryota; Metazoa; Arthropoda; Arachnida; Araneae; Agelenidae
Description: SSU rRNA
Rfam family: Eukaryotic small subunit ribosomal RNA
Source: RNAcentral
GAUUCGCCAUGCAUGUCUAAGUACAUGCCGUAUUAAGGCGAAACCGCGAAUGGCUCAUUAAAUCAGUCAUGGUUCCUUGGAUCGUACCUUACUACUUGGAUAACUGUGGCAAUUCUAGAGCUAAUACAUGCAGCAGAGCUCCGACCUUCGGGGACGAGCGCUUUUAUUAGACCAAAACCAAUCGGACCUCGUGUCCGUCCUUUGUGGUGACUCUGUAUAACUUUGGGCUGAUCGCACGGGCCUGUCCCGGCGACGUAUCUUUCAAGUGUCUGCCUUAUCAACUUUCGAUGGUAGGUUACGCGCCUACCAUGGUCGUAACGGGUAACGGGGAAUCAGGGUUCGAUUCCGGAGAGGGAGCCUGAGAAACGGCUACCACAUCCAAGGAAGGCAGCAGGCGCGCAAAUUACCCACUCCCAGAACGGGGAGGUAGUGACGAAAAAUAACAAUACGGGACUCUUUUGAGACCCCGUAAUUGGAAUGAGUACACUCUAAAUCCUUUAACGAGGAUCCAUUGGAGGGUAAGUCUGGUGCCAGCAACCGCGGUAAUUCCAGCUCCAAUAGCGUAUAUUAAAGUUGUUGCGGUUAAAAAGCUCGUAGUUGGAUCUCAGUUCCAGACGGGUGGUCCGCCUACCGGUGGUUACUGCCUGUUCUGAACAGUCAGCCGGUUUCUCUUGAUGAUCUUCACCGGUUGUCUUGGGUGACCGGCAAGUUUACUUUGAAAAAAUUAGAGUGCUCAAGCAGGCGUGACGCCUGAAUAAUGGUGCAUGGAAUAAUGGAAUAGGACCUCGGUUCUAUUUUGUUGGUUUUCGGAACACGAGGUAAUGAUUAAGAGGGACAGACGGGGGCAUUCGUAUUGCGACGCUAGAGGUGAAAUUCUUGGACCGUCGCAAGACGAACUACUGCGAAAGCAUUUGCCAAGAAUGUUUCCAUUAAUCAAGAACGAAAGUUAGAGGUUCGAAGGCGAUCAGAUACCGCCCUAGUUCUAACCAUAAACGAUGCCAGCCAGCGAUCCGGCUGUGU